Molecule: long non-coding RNA, 1297 nt
Organism: Bemisia tabaci
Lineage: Eukaryota; Metazoa; Arthropoda; Insecta; Hemiptera; Aleyrodidae
Source: RefSeq, a predicted model, not a curated record
AUGUGUGUGCUUGAGACAGAAGCAGUAAUACCUAGGUCUGUGCAAUUUUGUGGGCACGCGGCUGUUGCCAAGCAUAGUGCGACUGGACCCUGAAGCGGCCAUGUUUGCCUGGGCUGGAAACAAAAUAACGUGAAAGCUCGUCGCUAUAACCUUGAAACGGAAAACAAGGAUGCCAUAUGGAAUGAGGUGCAUCACAGGGAGGAAGGUACUUCUUGGGGGCUCACGAACCUACGUGUGUAAGUGUGAGUGCGUGCGCGAUAGGGGAGGGGGAGAGAGAUAGAGAGAAAGCGAUAACGAACAGGGAGAAGGGCGAAAGUUGAGGACUAAGAGAAAUAGCGGUGAGUGUACAGAGAAUAAAAAUGAUUGUCGUAGUGAUCAUGACAGGGGAGUUUCAGUCUGGGAGAGAGAGAAGUGAAGGAUAGCGGGGUCAUAGAAUUGCGCGCUGUUCGAUGGGAUUUGAGGGGGUUGAGGAGUCGCGAAAAGAAUCUCGGGGGAGCGGCGAGAGGGUAGAAUAUGAAUUAGGCGAAGCGGAGAGAGGAAUUAGAAGGACAGAGACGGACGGAGCUGUGAAAGAGAGUGCGGAAAAGCGGCGCGGCGGUGAUGGUGGCGUUAGUGGUGGCGCGGCGGCGGCGAGUGUUGUCGAGCGUCGGAGGGUAAGUUUUCUGCCGUCUGGGAUUCAGGUCAUUAGAGGGUGACGGCUCGGGUGGGAGGGAGUGGGGCAGAAAAAGACGGAGGGGAUGAUCGGUGUUGGGCGUUCAUGCGCGUGGCAACGCCAAGGGUAGCUGAAAUUACGAGCCGGCACUCAGAGUUCAGACGCCGCCUAACGACGCCCAACGCAUCGACCGACGCCCGGUACCCGUCUCCUCCGCCGCCAGCAGCCUGCCGGACGUCAUCUUCGCGUCUCUCUCAGUAAACAAUAACCCCGCGAUUGUGCCUUUGGAUUGAGGUAUUGCUGUCUCAAGUUGGAAUUGAUCGGGCUCAAUCAUUCUUGGCCUUGAUUGACCGUGGAAAAGCGGCACCGUUAUUUCUUGGAUUGCGAAGCAACAUAAGCAGGGAGAGGUACAAAAAUUGGUCAUUACAUUGCUACCAGGGUCCUUAUGAAGGGAUAGACGUUUCCUUCACUUCCAUGCACAAUUUACUCACUUCUAAAAUGUGUCAAGAUGACUUCGCUGUUUAAUGGUCUCUGUCACUCCGAGAUUUUCAGAUCCCCAUAGGUAGGUACCUAAAAUACUUCAGUUGCAUUGCCUUUUUUUUUUAAAAAAAAAAAAAAAAAAAAAAAAAACUAUUAAUAAACUUG